Molecule: ribosomal RNA, 253 nt
Filed under: uncultured bacterium
Lineage: Bacteria
Description: partial 16S ribosomal RNA
Rfam family: Bacterial small subunit ribosomal RNA
Source: RNAcentral
UACAGAGGGGGCAAGCGUUGUUCGGAAUUACUGGGCGUAAAGGGCGCGUAGGCGGCCAACUAAGUCAGACGUGAAAUCCCCAGGCUCAACCUGGGAACUGCGUCUGAUACUGGAGGACUAGAGUACCGGAGAGGAAACUGGAAUUUACGGUGUAGCAGUGAAAUGCGUAGAGAUCGUAAGGAAGACCAGUGGCGAAGGCGGCGACCUGGGUCGAUACUGACGCUGAGGCGCGAAAGCGUGGGGAGCAAACAGG